GUGGGGAAUUUUGGACAAUGGGGGCAACCCUGAUCCAGCCAUGCCGCGUGAGUGAAGAAGGCCUUCGGGUUGUAAAGCUCUUUUGUCUGGGAAGAAAAGGCGUCGGUUAAUACCUGGCGUUCUUGACGGUACCGGAAGAAUAAGCACCGGCUAACUACGUGCCAGCAGCCGCGGUAAUACGUAGGGUGCGAGCGUUAAUCGGAAUUACUGGGCGUAAAGCGUGCGCAGGCGGUUCGUGAAGUCCGAUGUGAAAGCCCUGGGCUUAACCUAGGAAUGGCAUUGGAAACUGGCGGGCUAGAGUGCGGCAGAGGGGGGUGGAAUUCCUGGUGUAGCAGUGAAAUGCGUAGAGAUCAGGAGGAACACCGAUGGCGAAGGCAGCCCCCUGGGUUGACACUGACGCUCAGGCACGAAAGCGUGGGGAGCAAACAGGAUUAGAAACCCCAGUAGUCC
This 450-nucleotide ribosomal RNA is filed under the name uncultured bacterium. Its description in RNAcentral is "bacterial SSU rRNA". It matches the Rfam family "Bacterial small subunit ribosomal RNA", at positions 354 to 796 of the family's 1533-position model. The record is from RNAcentral.